Molecule: non-coding RNA, 7128 nt
Organism: Ictidomys tridecemlineatus (thirteen-lined ground squirrel)
Lineage: Eukaryota; Metazoa; Chordata; Mammalia; Rodentia; Sciuridae
Source: RefSeq, a predicted model, not a curated record
UAAAAUUAUCACCGUCACAGACCUCUUUAUGGUUUUCUUUUAAUCACCUCGCCUGGAUAAAAUUGCCUAUUGAUUGACCUUAAAUGAAAUCUACUUUAACCUGGGAACUCCAUUAAGAGAAUAAUUCAGGAGGCUGCCUCUCUACCAGGGCAUUGUUGACCUGACUGCCUGGGAAUGAAUGAUGCGCCUCGUUCCGGGAGUCUCGUGAUUCCUAACAAGUUUAAAUGUUUAUCUGAACUCCUUGAAACCUGGCUGUCUUCUUCUUCCUCAGCCCUGAUUUCAUCCUUCUUUUUUUCUUUUUUCCUUAGAGAAAUACAGUUUUGCUUUCCCUCCCUUAGAAUCUGCUUCACUGGGGUCUCCUGGGCACUCUAUGCUAGUGGACUUUCCUGAUCCCUGACAUCAUCUUGACCGUCUCUCCCGAGGACAGGGAGCACUGGAAAUGCAGCCGGGCCUCGAAGUUCCCCGUAAACUGUACCGAAUGCAUUUUGACUUGUACUGGGUGGGUCUCGUCUGAGAAGGCAUUGUCUGCUCUGGAAUCGCUUAUUCCGGUAGAGUCAUACCAGCAUUGCCGACUGGAGAUUUUUGUUAUUUUUUUUCCUGGACAACACAGAAUGGAUCAGGGUACUGGAAGCCUGGCAGAGGGGACAGAGGACCUCACCUAAGGUCAGCAGAGGGGCAGGAGAAUACCUGCCUCUUCAUAUGCAGAUGGGGACACAUGCUGCAAAUCUGUCACCUGUCUGCAGACGUGAAGGGGGGUUUGCAUGACACCCAAGAGGGCACUGACAGAGCUAGGGAACUCAUACUCCAUCCGUCUCCAUGUGAGGAGCCUGAAUCAUCGUGGCUCAUUGAGAGUGACUGAAGUUGGGGGGAAACCUACGUUGAAGUGGGCUGUGAGAAAACCGUCUCAGAACGGAGAAGCAGCCCCCUCGCCCCUGCUCCUUGUCUGUCCUGGACAAGGCUAUGUGCUCCUCCUCUGUGCUGGAUUCAGCACAAGGGGUACGUCCUAUGAGUGACACUCGUCACACUUAAUAAAAAAUUGCCUGUAGAGUUGCUUAGUUUCCCACUGGAUUCUGCCAUGGAUGGGUGCAGAGACUCGGUGGCCUUGGGCUGCUCCUAGGACCUGGCUCAGGGCUCAGGGCUUGGCCCUGGGUGAGCAAUCAAUAAACUGCAUUAUUGAAUGAAUGAAUGAAUGAGACGUCCAUGAUGUUCAGAAGAAAUACUCCCCUCUGAAAAUGAUGUGUUCUAGGAAUCAGAAGAAAAGUUUAGAAAACAAUGCAAGAAGACACAACCAGUGGGGUCCUCAGAAAGAAGGGGGCCAAGUGGAAGAACCAUCUGGGCACAGCCCUGAUCCGGAGGUGGGACUGGGGAGAUGAGAGGUAUUGAGAGGAAACCAGCAUGGCAACAGCAGAGUUAAAACUCCCUCCUGUCAGAAAGGGCAGGAUCAGCAUCACAGGGGGCCAGAUCCGUGACCCAGGUGGAUAUGUACUUCCUGGAAUAUGAAGUUCUUUGAGCAAGAUGCCGGAAAAAUCCAACUCUGAAGACCCGGAGGAAUUCCUUUGCAGUAGAAUCCUCUCCUAAUAAAGCCCUUGUAUCUAAGUCCUGGCCUCGGGGUCUGAUUUCAUGGGAUCUAAACCAGGACACUGUCUGACCAUGGACAGGCAGCUAGAAGCCCCUGGUGGCUGGGCACCCAUGAGUGUGAGACGUGAUGGCCGGAGCUGGGGCAACAGCCAUGGAGCAAGAGAUUGGAACAGAGCCCUCAGACACACAGGAAGCAGAACAGGAGAAGCCCUGUUCUAAGGUGUCACACCAAACCUAAUCAAGAUAGGACAUAUCCCAAAUCCCGGGCUGCAUUGCUGAGUCCUGAUGAUCAUGGAGGAGAACUCAGAGAAGAAAUCUGAACGGGCGGUUACGAUAAGUGCAGAAUCUCACUUCCUCACCCCCUAGAACACGGUGUACCCAUGUGACUAUGAAAGGUAAAGAGCAAUGCCCUGUGCCCCUCCUGGGCUGAAGCAUUGAGCUGCUGCCUCUUCCCUCUCUUGUGUAGUCCAGAAGCAUCAUGUCCACCUGGUAAGAUAAUUAAAUGUUGGAGCCUCCACUGGCCUGGGCCCCAGCGGGUUACGGUGAGCUGAGACUCCUCCCCCUGCACUGAACAUGGAGCACUUAUAAGAACGAAACCUCUGGUGGUUGAAGCAAUGAGCUUUGGGCUUGUUUGUUAGUGCAGAAUCACUGACUGAUACUGUCUGCCCAUGUCGGAAUGUUUGUAUAUCCUCAAAAUUCACGUGUUGAAACCUAUUCCCUUGGUGUGGAAUCAAUAAGAGGAGGAAUCUUUAGAGAAAUGAUUAAGUGAUAAGGGAAAGUCCUUAGGAAUGGAAUUCGUGUCCUUCUGAAAAUGAGGCUCAAAGGACUUUACUCACCCCUCCCACCACACGAGGACACAGCAAGAUGGCGGCAUCUAUGAAGCACACAGGGUGAGGGCUCCCCAGAUACUGGAUCUACUGCCUCCUUGGUCUUGGCCUUCCCAGCCUCCAGACUAUAAGCAGUACAUUUCUGUUGUUAUAAAUUACUGGGUCAAAGGUAUUUUGGACUUAGAUUCUGAGGUUCCAUGACCCUGCCGCAUUUCUAAUGGGUCUCUAGACUUGAGUUAGGCAGCAUCAGGGCCAGGGACAGAAUUGUGACUGCUUUUCUGAGACUUUGUGGGCAAACAGGAUACUCCCAGUGUCCUUCUAGAUCUAUUUUAGGAUUAACUCCAAAGUGCAGUUCAAGGGGAGCCAGGACUGAUAGUUUUCUCUGUGUGGCUGAAUAUAAAUGAACUGAGAAGUACUGAGGGCCACAGCUGGUGGUCUCCAUGCCCAGAGAUUCCCCAGCGCGUACCUGGGUACAUAAUGACCUGGAUACCUAGUCUGCCUUCUGGAACAUCAGAUAGACGUGUCCGCUUAGGGUUCUGUGGCUCUUCCGUGUCACUGAGAGCAAAAGUCCUAUAUAAUGACCUUGUGGGUGGCCUAGCUUUAGACCUCAGAUGGAACGGCACACAAUGAUACUGUUUUCAUGUAUAAAAAAGUAUGUAAGAAUGUGCACUUUUAUCCCCUUUGCAUCUGAAUCUGAUACUUGUUCUUUUACCUUUUCGUGUAAAGGAUUGAAAUAUUUUAAAAUUACAGAAGCAAAUCCCCAAACGGGAAUCACAGUCAGCUGUAUUAGUCAGCUUCUGCUGCCUAACAAGCUAUUCUACAAUUUAGUGGACUGAAAAGGGACUUUUGUCACCUCACCGUUUCUGUGGGUCAGGAAUUUGGGAGUGGUUCUCCCUCAGAACGCUUGUGAGGUUCCAGUCAUGAAGUGGGCUGGAAUCACUUAAAGGACAGACGGGAUUUGGAGGAUCCACUUCCACGAUGGUGCCCUCCUGUGGAUGUCGGCAGGCACCUCACCACAUGGGACUCUAUAGAGGGCAGCUGCUUCCCCAGAGCCGGGCCCUCAGCUUCCGGGCCUAGACGCUACCAUGUAGUCAACAUUUUAUUGGCUGCACAGAUCCUCUUUAUUCAGCGUGGAACGGGACUCCAUCAGGACGUAAGUAACGGUCAGGGGCCAUUGGGCGCCAUUUUGAACACUGACUACAGAGCCCAGAAUCCUGCUGCACACAAGGGCACUCCUGAACACCGUCCCCCUGCACUCCCCGUUCACCUCGACCUUCCUUGGCAGGCAAAGCACAGGGGUCCAGUGUUCAUCUAAGUUGUCUUCUCACAAGAAGAAACUUUCCUUUCUCUUUCUCAGUAAAGGACGUCCCAUUGGCCCAUAUGGCUUUCCCGCCUAAAUAAACAACCCCCUGUUCAGUUCAACAGCUUCUCCAGAGAAAACUUUCCACCUUAAUAGACAGGUGUAGAUUGUCCAAUGGUGGGCGCGGCACCAUUCCUGACAGCCUGGCUCCAUUCCAUGGCCACACCUUCCACUGCCUUCUCCCAACAACUUUCUGUGGUCCCCAAGAGCUGACUGAGUGUUUACUGAGGUCGCCAUGGCAACGCCUCUUCCGAGGAGGCUGAGGGGUGUUUCAUCCACCUGGUGACAUCGUGUUCUGUGUCUCUCCUGCUUUUCCAACAGCACUUUGGAGUCGGGCUCUCUGUCUCCGCUCAGCACUCAUUCUUACUCUAUCCAUUGAACCUUUGCCGGGCAUUUCUCAAGCACAUUGUCUAUGAAAUAUGUAAGCAGGAGGCCUUAGAAAGAACAAGUUCCUAUAAAAUGGUCGGUAACAACAGCUUUGCUGUUCACCGUGAUCACUGCCCAGACUCCCCUAUUCCCCCGAAUGGUGUUCGCCCCACCCAUGCCACACCAUCCAUUCUGCUCCCCAUCACGACACUGUUUUUUUUUUUUUUUUUUGGUGUUUUACGAAACGAGACAUUAUUCAGAGCAAAAAACUAACAUGGAAUGCUGAUAAGGAAGAGCUACCCCGGCAAGAGCAGAGAAAAUAGUCACUUAAUCCUGGCUACUAGUCCCAACUCUUCCAGGGAGAUUUGUGGCGUAAGGUUCAGAGAUCUGAUCCAGCAACCCAUCACUAAAGCGAAUAAGCAUCUGACAGCGUGACCCCGCUUUUCUGGUGUCCAUGAGGACACGCUCCGGGGAAACCCAUCCAGAACUGACCUCCCUGUCCAUGAGACCGCAUUUCAUUAUUACCAUCCUGGAACCUGGAAUUUCUUUGGUAACUUGUUAAAUGCUGCUGGGGAUGGCAAAAUAAAGCCUCUGGCAACCCUGCGUAUUUUUGCUGUUGCCAUCUUCACUGAUAAAUUGCCCAAUUUUCUUAGCAAAUUCAGCAACAAUAACAGUUUUCUGCUAGCAAAAUAACCUUUCAUUUUUUACAAAAAAAAAAAAAGGUGGUGGAGAGGGGCUGGAAUAAAAACAAGUGGUAGAGGUGGCAUGUUUCCCACAAAACCAAGUUCCUAAUUUUUAGUUUUCUCUAGCUGUGGGUAGGGACUGGCUUUUUGUUUCUCAUAAAUAAAAGGGCUACGUUUAUGCUCGGCCUAAGGCAUCCUCUGAUGCCUGGCUAAAUCGUUUUGAUAGGAAAGAUUUAUUGGAAUACUUUAUAAUUCCAUGAUGAAUGAGGUAGAUUAUUUUCUUUGGUUCUGUCUGACACCCCUCCUGCCCAAUCUGAUAGCAUCACCGUGCUUUUUUAUGGCUGAGUUUCUGAGAAGUCGUGUUUAGUAGGACACACGAUAGGUAGGAAUUUCUGCCUUGUCCAUCAACAAUGAGAGGAGCAUGUUCAGAGAGAGGUGUGGAUGAGGGGGCUCUCUGAUUCAAGGUUGGUGACCAGCCUCUGCCACAGAGAAGCCCAGAGAGAAGGUGAACUGUGACCGUCCCUGUUUUCAUCAUGAAUUCGUCCCUGAUACCAAGAGGAAGGCAGAGACAGGAUUUGGUGUGAUGUGAGCUGGAACUGAGAGGCAAAUAAAAGCCAGAAUCAUGAGCCAUCAACCCGAGGAGGCCAAUUCCCAGACAGAUAACCAUGUCUACCCACAGAGACGCCCGGGCAUGCGGAGCAGGGACAAGCAAGUUCUGUGAACCACCGACAAUCAGACUCUGAGGGCGAAAUAUAUUCCCAGGGCAGUGAAAUCCAAGAAACUCUGACUUUGCGUUUUGCUGGGGCUCAAUCUUCAAUCUCUCUGAUUUUGCUUUAAUCCUCAUGUUCCAACCCAGAUCCGUCAAUGAAGCCGAAUUCCAGCCCGGACAGGUUUUUGGCUUCUUCCCAGGUCUCGCUUAGACCUGGGCACCUAGGAGGUCACGCAGCUGUAGGAAGACUUGUGCUGUGGCAUCCUGCACAAGGUGACGGAGGCAGUGUAGUCUCUGGCAGGGACAAACACUCUGGGCUCUGGGACUGAGGUGACUUGGGUGGAAAUGCAGACUACCACGUGCCACACAGGCACACUGGCCAAAUGGCUGCCCAUCCCGUGCUUCUGUCUAGUUCCAUCUCGUUCGUAGGGUUUCACGGCUUAGUACGACUGGUUAGGAAAAGGGGCCGGGUGUGGAGCAGGUGCUUCAUGAUGUGAAAUUCCACUUUCCCUUUUCCAAAUCCCUUAGAACUUAACUGUGUUCCUUGUAUCAGGGAGCUAAAGAGAUUUGCAAAAUUAGCCCAGAAACUCUUGGACAAUUAAAACACGAACUUAGAAACAUAAGCUUGACUCCAUCUUUGGUUUAGCUUUGCUUUAUCCACAGCCAGAGAACAUCCCGCCAGCCCACCUUGAUGCUUGUGUGGAGAGACCAGCUGUUUGUUGUGACCUGGGUCUAAUUCCUGGCCUUCAGGUCGAAGCUCUCCUCCUACUCUCUGGCUAUUUUGUUCAGGAGAAGGGGAACAAACUGCCUUUGAUUCUAGGUCAGGGCAUAUGAUUCAUGCCUGGUUUUGGAAACUGGCUCAAAGCUCUCCAAGGAGACUCAAACUAGAAGUUUUCUGGCAAAGGAGAUGAAAAAAACCAUGUUAUUUUGCAUUGAAGUUACUAAGCCUAGAGCUUCUGAGUGCCAUCAGGAAUGGCAGAGUCCCCUGAGAGGGGAGUUGACACAGAAGGAAGCUUAGGUGGGUGAGAAGUCCUAACAAUAUUAUUUGAACUCCUAGAUCCAUAGGAGGUUAAUGUAAAAUCUAUUUUUUUUUUUUUGCCAUUAGGUACAUGAAUCAAGUAUUUCUCUUUCCACCUUUUUAUUAUCUUUGAAUCUGAGGUAGGUUGCUUGUACACUGUAUUCAGUUUGGCAAUGUUUUUUUUUUUAAAUCCAUAUUGAUAAUCCCUCUACCUUUUUAUUAGAGUGUUUAAUCCAGUUACAUUUAGUAUAAUUAUUGAUAAUGCAGGAUUUAUGUCUGCCAUUUUGCUAUUUAUUUUCAGUAUAUUUCAUGUCUUUUUACAUUCUUAAUUUCCUCAUUACAGACUUCUUUUUGUGUUAAACAGACUUUCCUGUUUACCAUUUUACUUCCUUCUUGUUUCUUUUACAAUGUAAUUUUCUUAGUGGUUGUCAUGGAGAUUGCAAUUAACAUCUCAACUUAAGAUAACCUAUUUCAAAUUAAGGUUAACUUUAAUAGUAUCUAGAAACUCUGCAUCAGAUAGAGCACCAUUCCCUUCUUCUUCCUCUGUGCAAUUAUUGUAAUACAAAUUAAAUUUUUACCUACUGUAA